Molecule: ribosomal RNA, 446 nt
Filed under: uncultured bacterium
Lineage: Bacteria
Description: partial 16S ribosomal RNA
Rfam family: Bacterial small subunit ribosomal RNA
Source: RNAcentral
CCUACGGGGGGCAGCAGUCGAGAAUCAUUCACAAUGGAGGAAACUCUGAUGGUGCGACGCCGCGUGGGGGAAUGCAGCUCUUCGGAUUGUAAACCCCUUUCAUGUGGGAGCAAAUUAGAAAGAUAGUACCACAAGAGGAAGAGACGGCUAACUCUGUGCCAGCAACCGCGGUAAUACAGAGGUCUCAAGCGUUGUUCGGAAUCACUGGGCGUAAAGCGUGCGUAGGCUGUUUCGUAAGUCGUGUGUGAAAGGCGGGGGCUCAACCCGCGGACGGCACAUGAUACUGCGAGACUAGAGUAAUGGAGGGGGAAGCGGAAUUCUCGGUGUAGCAGUGAAAUGCGUAGAUAUCGAGAGGAACACUCGUGGCGAAGGCGGGUUCCUGGACAUUAACUGACGCUGAGGCACGAAGGCCAGGGGAGCGAAAGGGAUUAGAUACCCCUGUAGUC